GUAGCUCUCUUUGCCUUUUGGCUUAGAUCAAGUGUAGUAUCUGUUCUUUUCAGUUUAAUAUCUGAAAUAUCGUCCACGCGACGAUAUCGGUUAUUAAUAUUAUUUUUGCCCUUCGAGGCAGACCUCUUGGCUUGCCAACGUCUUCCUCACUGUGUCUCCGGUAUUGCACUACCUCCGGAUGAUGCGAAGCAUU
RNAcentral lists this small nuclear RNA (193 nucleotides) under Drechslerella stenobrocha 248. RNAcentral's name for it is "U2 spliceosomal RNA". It matches the Rfam family "U2 spliceosomal RNA". Rfam says of the family: U2 is a small nuclear RNA (snRNA) component of the spliceosome (involved in pre-mRNA splicing). Complementary binding between U2 snRNA (in an area lying towards the 5' end but 3' to hairpin I) and the branchpoint sequence (BPS) of the intron results the bulging out of an unpaired adenosine, on the BPS, which initiates a nucleophilic attack at the intronic 5' splice site, thus starting the first of two transesterification reactions that mediate splicing. Lineage: Eukaryota; Fungi; Ascomycota; Orbiliomycetes; Orbiliales; Orbiliaceae. The record is from Rfam by way of RNAcentral.